UUCGGUGAUUAUAGCAUAGAGGAAACACUCGAUCCCAUUCCGAACUCGACCGUUAAGCUCUAUAGCGCCGAUGGUACUGCCCGGGCAACUGGGUGGGAGAGUAGGACAUCGCCGAAA
Molecule: ribosomal RNA, 117 nt
Filed under: Thermodesulfobacteriota bacterium
Lineage: Bacteria; Pseudomonadati; Thermodesulfobacteriota
Source: RNAcentral